RNAcentral lists this ribosomal RNA (461 nucleotides) under uncultured Desulfocapsa sp. RNAcentral describes it as "bacterial SSU rRNA". It matches the Rfam family "Bacterial small subunit ribosomal RNA", at positions 925 to 1382 of the family's 1533-position model. Lineage: Bacteria; Pseudomonadati; Thermodesulfobacteriota; Desulfobulbia; Desulfobulbales; Desulfocapsaceae. The record is from RNAcentral.
ACAAGCGGUGGAGUAUGUGGUUUAAUUCGACGCCAACGCGCAGAACCUUACCUGGUCUUGACAUCCCGAGAAUUUCCUGGAAACAGGAAAGUGCCUCGCAAGAGGAACUUGGUGACAGGUGCUGCAUGGCUGUCGUCAGCUCGUGUCGUGAGAUGUUGGGUUAAGUCCCGCAACGAGCGCAACCCUUGUCUUUAGUUGCCAUCAUUAAGUUGGGCACUCUAAAGAGACUGCCGGUGUCAAACCGGAGGAAGGUGGGGAUGACGUCAAGUCCUCAUGGCCUUUAUGACCAGGGCUACACACGUACUACAAUGGCAGGUACAAAGGGCAGCCACUUAGCGAUAAGGAGCGAAUCCCGUAAAACCUGUCUCAGUCCGGAUUGGAGUCUACAACUCGACUCCAUGAAGUUGGAAUCGCUAGUAAUCGCAGAUCAGCACGCUGCGGUGAAUACGUUCCCGGGCCUU